AGCAGUCGCCACGGGAAUACGUAGGUGGCAAGCGUUGUCCGGAAUUAUUGGGCGUAAAGCGCGCGCAGGCGGAUAGGUCAGUCUGUCUUAAAAGUUCGGGGCUUAACCCCGUGAUGGGAUGGAAACUGCCAAUCUAGAGUAUCGGAGAGGAAAGUGGAAUUCCUAGUGUAGCGGUGAAAUGCGUAGAUAUUAGGAAGAACACCAGUGGCGAAGGCGACUUUCUGGACGAAAACUGACGCUGAGGCGCGAAAGCCAGGGGAGCGAACGGGAUUAGAGACCCCAGUAGUCCCUGUCUCUUAUACA
This 303-nucleotide ribosomal RNA is filed under the name uncultured bacterium. RNAcentral describes it as "partial 16S ribosomal RNA". It matches the Rfam family "Bacterial small subunit ribosomal RNA", at positions 507 to 809 of the family's 1533-position model. The record is from RNAcentral.